GAUGAACGCUGGCGGCGUGCCUAAUACAUGCAAGUCGAGCGAACAGACGAGGAGCUUGCUCCUCUGACGUUAGCGGCGGACGGGUGAGUAACACGUGGAUAACCUACCUAUAAGACUGGGAUAACUUCGGGAAACCGGAGCUAAUGCCGGAUAAUAUAUUGAACCGCAUGGUUCAAUAGUGAAAGACGGUUUUGCUGUCACUUAUAGAUGGAUCCGCGCCGCAUUAGCUAGUUGGUAAGGUAACGGCUUACCAAGGCAACGAUGCGUAGCCGACCUGAGAGGGUGAUCGGCCACACUGGAACUGAGACACGGUCCAGACUCCUACGGGAGGCAGCAGUAGGGAAUCUUCCGCAAUGGGCGAAAGCCUGACGGAGCAACGCCGCGUGAGUGAUGAAGGUCUUCGGAUCGUAAAACUCUGUUAUUAGGGAAGAACAAAUGUGUAAGUAACUAUGCACGUCUUGACGGUACCUAAUCAGAAAGCCACGGCCAACUACGUG
This 497-nucleotide ribosomal RNA is filed under the name uncultured bacterium. Its description in RNAcentral is "partial 16S ribosomal RNA". It matches the Rfam family "Bacterial small subunit ribosomal RNA", at positions 28 to 507 of the family's 1533-position model. The record is from RNAcentral.